RNAcentral lists this unclassified non-coding RNA (161 nucleotides) under uncultured Helotiales. Lineage: Eukaryota; Fungi; Ascomycota; Leotiomycetes; Helotiales. The record is from RNAcentral.
AAGAACGCCCCGUUCUUUGAAAUGGGUAGUUCCCAAACCGUGUUUAUAUUACCUUUGUUGCUUUGGCAGGCCGCCUUCUAGGCGUCGGCUCCGGCUGACUGCGCCUGCCAGAGGACCCAAACUCGUUUGUUUAGUGUCGUCUGAGUACUAUAUAAUAGUUA